UAGUGGCGGGGUAACGGCCCACCAAGACAACGAUGGAUAGGGGUUCUGAGAGGAAGGUCCCCCACAUUGGAACUGAGACACGGUCCAAACUCCUACGGGAGGCAGCAG
Molecule: ribosomal RNA, 108 nt
Filed under: uncultured bacterium
Lineage: Bacteria
Description: partial 16S ribosomal RNA
Rfam family: Bacterial small subunit ribosomal RNA
Source: RNAcentral